This 253-nucleotide ribosomal RNA is filed under the name uncultured bacterium. RNAcentral's name for it is "partial 16S ribosomal RNA". It matches the Rfam family "Bacterial small subunit ribosomal RNA", at positions 524 to 776 of the family's 1533-position model. The record is from RNAcentral.
UACGGAAGGGGCAAGCGUUGUUCGGAAUCAUUGGGCGUAAAGAGCUCGUAGGCGGUUUGUCGCGUCUGCUGUGAAAACUCGGGGCUUAACCCCGGGCCUGCAGUGGGUACGGGCAGACUAGAGUGCGGUAGGGGAGACUGGAAUUCCUGGUGUAGCGGUGAAAUGCGCAGAUAUCAGGAGGAACACCGGUGGCGAAGGCGGGUCUCUGGGCCGUAACUGACGCUGAGGAGCGAAAGCAUGGGGAGCGAACAGG